CUACGGGUGGCUCCAGUGAGGAAUUUUGCGCAAUGGGGGAAACCCUGACGCAGCAACGCCGCGUGAGUGAUGAAGGCUUUCGGGUCGUAAAGCUCUGUCAAGUGGGAAGAACAUACAUAAGGCCAAUACCUUUAUGUACUGACGGUACCACUGAAGGAAGCACCGGCUAACUCCGUGCCAGCAGCCGCGGUAAUACGGGGGGUGCAAGCGUUAUUCGGAAUCAUUGGGCGUAAAGAGCACGUAGGCGGUUAUCUAAGUCAGAUGUGAAAGCCCGGGGCUUAACCCCGGAAGUGCAUUUGAUACUGGGAAACUUGAGUAUGGGAGAGGGAAGUGGAAUUCCUGGUGUAGAGGUGAAAUUCGUAGAUAUCAGGAGGAACACCGGUGGCGAAGGCGACUUCCUGGACCAAUACUGACGCUGAGGUGCGAAGGCGUGGGGAGCAAACAGGAUUAGAUACCCCCGUAGUC
This 465-nucleotide ribosomal RNA is filed under the name uncultured bacterium. RNAcentral's name for it is "partial 16S ribosomal RNA". It matches the Rfam family "Bacterial small subunit ribosomal RNA", at positions 339 to 795 of the family's 1533-position model. The record is from RNAcentral.